CACGAUGCAGGUGCAGAAAACGCAGAAACCGUAAACGAGAGUCCAAAAAGCCAGAAGCCUCAUCCUGCAAGCCAGGCGCACGAAAGAAAAUGAUUUGCAAUCACUGAAUACGAUCAGUGAAGGUGCAAGAGAGAAGUACAACACCACAAUCAAGAUGUGGAUUACAAGUCAAAAUGGAGUCAAAAAUGUAUAAUGCAACCACAUUCUGUAAGGUCUUUUUUCUCAGCACUUAACCUGAGGCAACAUGAUCUGUACUGAUUUUCCCCUUCUCCGUGAGCUGAUCCUUGAUAGAAUGCUUCCCAAGACUCACCAAAAGUCAUAUACCCAGUCCAAAGGAUUUAAGAGGUGAAGAUCUCCUAAGAGUCACAGGAGGCAAACAAACGUGUGUUGCAGAAGACACAUCAGCGCUGGGCAGCAGGAUAUUCCCAGGAACCAGUCAAGCCCAGAAAGGCCAGAAAAAAGGUGAAAGGACUGCAGCUUCCAGUCAAGCAGGCUUGAGGAAGGGUAAAAAAUGGCCUAAAGAUAGAAAGUGAAGAGUGCCUAUGAUCACCAGAAAUGACAGAACUCUUCCUGAAAGACCACCCCAGGCACUGCUUUACUGUGUUAUGAGAUGUUCAAUUUAAAAAUGUAUUUCUCUUAGAAUACAUUUUUCCAAGCAAAAGUAUAAGUAUGAUUAUUGGUUUCUUUAUUUCUGGAACAUUUCUGUGCAGUUGAUUUUACAUUAUAAUAUUUCUUGGUAUUUAUUUAAUGAUACCAUAAUGCUAUUUUAUUUUGCAUAUGGAUGCUGUCAUGUUAUGAUUCCCAUGACCAGCACAAUGCACUUGGUUGGCAAGGAAUGGAGUUUCAGACCAUUUCACGUCUUACAACAACAGUGCAACCCCUUAAUUACCAGCACAACAAUUUAUUUUUAUCAGUGAUU
Long non-coding RNA from Polypterus senegalus (gray bichir), 919 nucleotides. RefSeq lists it as uncharacterized. The record is from RefSeq and is a predicted model, not a curated record. The transcript is spliced from 4 exons. NCBI's taxonomy places the organism in Eukaryota, Metazoa, Chordata, Cladistia, Polypteriformes, Polypteridae.